This 15437-nucleotide long non-coding RNA is filed under the name Lactuca sativa (garden lettuce). RNAcentral describes it as "long non-coding RNA (LSAT_LNC003523)". Lineage: Eukaryota; Viridiplantae; Streptophyta; Magnoliopsida; Asterales; Asteraceae. The record is from RNAcentral.
GUGGGUUAGGUCGGUAGUCUAAGGAUUUACGUUGCAGUAUGUUUUUCCUCUUCCUUCGAUCCUUGGCAUUCGUAGAACACAAGCCAUAUGUGAGAUUCCUUGUUAGAGAACUGAAACCCUAAUCGUAAAAACUUUGGGUUGUGUUUUUCGGUUCUUCAGGUAUUUACUAAUUCCUUCUCUAAACGCUUGCGUAAUUUUCUUUUUCAAUUCUGUUUGUGAGCGUUAAUGACUUGCAACAAAUUUGAUUCUCUAAUUUAGAAAGUUAGGAAUUCUGAUUAUAUAUGCGUUCUUGUUCUUCAGUCAUUCAAUGAGACCCAAACACCCCCGGACCCAUGUCUAUCUCUCUAACUACGGUCCCCCGAUACCCAAAUCUACCUCGGCAUGUCUGCAAUCGAAGAUCUGUAAGUUUCAUUAUUUUUAUUCUUUUCUUUAUUUUACGUUUAUAGGGUUUUUCUGUAAUUGAGAAUGAUGACGUGAUUUUAUUUUGUCAAUUAGGGUUUUGAUUUUACUCUUUCUAAUUUAGGAUUCUACUAUCACCCUGUCUUCUUCAUCUUCUUUUCGUUGAUUUUUUUUUUCUGUAAAAUCUGAUUUUUUAGGUUUGUUUCUGUCGUAUUGUGUUGUUGAUCAUUUGAUAGAUAAAGUCUGGUGUGUUUGGUUAGUUUUGUUGCUCGUUUGAGAACUGUCUUGUAGAUUCAAUGUUAGGAAAAAGUAAUUUUAUGAGAUCACCAGAUUUUAUUCAAAUUUAUGUGAUCGUGUAAGACUCCAUAAGUUAAAACUAUAUUUAAUUUGUUUCUUGUAUCUCUUCCUUUGAUCUGCAUAUUACUAAUAUUACUAAUAAUAGAAUUCUGUCAAACUCUUGGAUCUACUCAUAUUUCUAUAUUUAACAUGAAAAUAUAUUUCUAUAUUUAACAUGUAAAUUUUCAUGGCCAUAACAUGAUAACCUCAUUUUCUUGUAUCUUUAAUGGACUCGUGGCUUUAAAGGCAAUGUAGUUGUAGUUCACUCCUAUUGUUAUCUAGUUAUGUUGACCAUUCCUGAUGAUCUGCGUAUUACUUUUAAAUGUCUUUUAUUUGGUACUAAGAAACAUCAUGAAGUGGUUUUUCUUAUGGAAUUAUGGUUUACAACAGUCAUAAAGCAUUAUUUUUCUUUUUUCCUUUUCCUGCUUUUAUCUAAUAAUAUGUGAUCUUUAUUGUGAUUCUACUUGUUACUUGGUGUCUGAAGUUUGCAUACUUACAGAAUUAGGUGAGAUGAACUCCAUCAGUGUUGUGGAAUGAAAUCAUUGUUUAAUAAAAAAAGCAACAAAGUGGAUUCUGAUGGGUCAUCACCUGUAAGUUUUGAUCCCUUUUGUUUUUUAUUUAAAAUCUUGCUUUGAUUUCUUUCAAUUUCAUUAGGGUAUUUCCAUUUUAUUUGUAAUUUUCUAUGUGAUGCUAGGUUAAAGUGGUAGGUGUAAGGCAAUAUCCUUAUAUUAAAUGUGAAACAAUUUACUUAUCAUUACAUAACACUACAAGGAAAACGAUCAUUAGCCGCGACAAAAGUCGUCGGUAAUAAGUCAAGUUGUCGCCGAUAAUAGUAAUAGCGGCGAUGCGUCGCUGGUAGUAAGUUGCUACUACUAUUUCGUCACUAUUGAUGAACUUGUCGCAGCUAAUGAUAGAUGUCGCGAAUAAUGACCGUGUCACCGCUAAUGAUAGAUUUCACCGCUAAUGACCAUGUCGCCGGUAAUAACUCUGUCGCCGGUAAUAGUGUCACCAGUAAUUACAAUUUUCAUUUUUAAAAUUUUUUUUUGUAAUUAUUGAUUUUGUUUGCUGGUAAAAAUGUACUCGGUAAUUACAUAACAACAUUUGAUUAAAUAUAAAAAAUAAUAGUGUUGACGUUAAUUACAAAACAAACAUCCGAUUAUAAUUAAUUAAAUAUCAAAAGUCAUAAUAUCCGAUUAAAUAUAAAAAGUAUUAAUAUCGUCUGGUAUUAGUGUCGCCGGUAAUUACAAAAAACAACCAAAGUUUUACAAUCUACCAAGUAGCAAAGCAUGACAACGUAUGCAAAUAAAACUCAUCCUGACCUACAUACCAUCAUCUUCGUUCCCAUCGUUUCCUCGAUUAUUUUGGGAAUGAAAAAACGAAUGCAGCUCAUCCCUACAUGCCGGGUCGUUCAGCAUGGCACAAAGAUUUUCCAACUACAUAAUUAAUAACAACAUAUAUAAACUUAUAAGUUCAAUUAUCAAACAUAAACAAAAACUAUCAAAAUACAUUGUUAUUUUUAAACUAAGACAAGAAACCAAAGUACGUUGUUAUUUUUGCACUUGGGACACAAAUCUAAUUACCAAAGUUUUUAGCAAAUAAUCACCACAAAACCAAAAUUACCAAAUCAACAUGCAUUUUACGAUGCUAAAGUAGAUUGCUAUUUUUAAACUAAGACCAAAAACCAAUGUACGUUGUUAUUUUUUGCAUUUGGGACAAAAACCUAAUUACCAAAGUUUUUAGCAAAUAAUCACUACAAAACCAAAAUUACCAAAUCAACAUACAUUUUACGAUGCUAAAGUAGAUUGUUAUUUUUAAACUAAAAAAAAACCAAAGUACGUUGUUAUUUUUUGCACCUGGGACAAAAACCUAAUUACCAAACUUUUUAGCAAAUAAUCACCACAAAACCAAAAUUACCAAAUCAACAUACAUUUUACGAUGCUAAAGUAGAUUGUUAUUUUUAAACUAAGACAAAAAAACCAAAGUACGUUGUUAUUUUUUGCACUUUGGACAAAAACCUAAUUACCAAACUGUUUAGCAAAUAAUCACCACAAAACCAAAGUAGAUUGUUUUACCUGUGAUGGUUGUGGUGAUGGUUGCGAAGGCUGUGGAAUCGGCGGGAGAGUAGAAGGUUUAUGGCCGAUGCCUCUAAUAUGGCUACGUCGCUCUCCUAAUACUUUCUCUAACACAGUUCUUUCUUGAGUGGGUGUUAACUGACUUUCACCUUGAGUUUGUUCUAACAACUAUUCAACUAACCGAUUUUAUAACUUCUAAAAGUGAGUAACAAUUAAGUAUAAAUAAACAUUUAACUAUAUGAUAAAAUUAUAAUUAAAUACUUACAUAUUGUUGUUCCGCCUCAGUUGUAACAAAUACAUCAUUCUUAUCGGUAUGAGCUUUGCGAAACGUUUCCACUCUCUUAAGGUUCUGUUUAACUUUAAAAAUUAGAUUAUAUUUUAAAUAAAUAAUUACAUAUAUCGUACGUUACCUUCUUAUAGCAACUACUGCUAUACGAGCUCGACCCCCACGAUUCGCAUUUGUUUGCAUUUCACGGAUUUUUUUGUUCUUUUCUGAAGCAAUUAUGUGUUCGUUUGUUUGGAAAUACUCAACUGCUUUUUUCCACUUAUCAACUUCCAUACCCUCUGGAGGGUUGGCUAUUGCUCUCGGGAUAUCUUCAUACCCUCCGACUAACAUAAAAUAUUCUUUUGCGUCAGCUUUACGUUCUCGAUAACCUUUUAACAAAGCUGCUUGGAAACUCUCUGUCAACAUAUUAACUUGUCAUCUCGGUACAUCUAAUCUAAAUCAAACUUUGUCUACAAAUAAAAAAGUUAACCAAGUAAAAAACAAUUAUAGUUAACCAUAUAAAAUAUAUUUAAAUAAAUAACUGCCGCUAAAUGUUGUAAUACGGUGUCCUGUAUUGCAGGGGAAACUUUUUUCCAAGUGCAUUUAUCAAAAGGGACCAUCUGCCACAUUGUUUUUCCAACUUCUCGGGAAAACAUGUCUUUCGGCUCUCCUACGGGAUCAAAUGUGAUAUCCCUAUCAUAUUCCAUGCUAAUCGGUUUGCCCUGGUUCCAUAAGAUCGUUUUUUCAAGCUUUAUAUUUUUCGAUUUGCCUCGAACUUUCCUUUGUGCAAGUUGCUCAACUACAAAUGUAAUUAAAAAUUAUUAGAAACGGUAUUUAAUUUAUAAUAGCUGAACAAAAAUAGUAAACAACAAUUCAUAACAAGACUUACCGUCCUGCUCGUGAUGACCAACACCUCUACCACCUGGGAGAGGUGCGUCCUCAGCUCCAUCACCCCCCGUGUCCACGACCCAUAACAGCUGCCAUGGUAUACAUAAACAAAAGCCAUAUUGUCAUCAUUUCUUGAAAAACUUAUAAGAUAUACAAAUAUAAUUUUUAUUACAAAUACACAUUACAUAGAAAUAAACAUUUACAUAGGAAUAAACAUUUCUAUUUAAACAAGAACUGUUCUAAUCAGAAUAUUCCUCAUAUCCUUCGGUGUCUUCUUCUGUAUCAUAAUCAUAAUCGGUCUCAUCGUAAUCAGUUUCGCAAUCAGAAACAUCAUUGACUAUACCAGUAUAGCAUCCUACUUAUACCAAAACCACAUACUUUUCCACAUAAUACACAAGAGAAUGAAAUUCACAUACUUUCACACACAUAUACCACGUAUACACCAAAUACAAAUACAUUCACAUACACACAAAAUAACAUCCUACUUAAAUUAAAUACACAUAUUUUCACAUAUAUAGCUAAUAACAUCCUAUUUAUACCAAAUACAAAAAUUUCACAAUCAUAUACCACAUUUACGACAAACAUACAUAUAUUCACAUACACACAAUAACAUCCUACUUAUAACAAAUACAUAUAAUUUCACAUAUAUAUAGAUAAUAACAUCAUGUAUAUACUUCUACCAAAUACUCAUACACCACAUAUACAUCAAACACACAUACAUUGGCAUAUAUACACCAAAUUCACAUAUAUUUAUACAAAUACCAAAUAUACAAUCUAAUUUUCACAUAUGGCAAUUUUCACAUACAAAUACGAAAUUCACAAAAAAAUGAAAUAAUAGAACCUGUAGUGGCGGAAAUCAACGGAUAUGUAGCCGGAAAAUUUGGUCUUCACCCGAAAAUACCCUCACCGGUAAACCCAAAGACAACACCACCAAAAACACUGAAAUUAAACAAUUUAUUGCAAUUUAAUCAUCAAAUUCGGCUCUUAAUAAUCACCAAAUGUCCCUAAAGACUAAACUACAAAUGGAAGUAAUACAAGAAUCAAAUUCAUUUUUUUUUCUAAUCCAAAGACAACACCACCAAAAACAAGAAAUUGAACAACUUAUGGCCAUUUAAUCAUCAAAUGCAGCUACAAAUCGAAAUUAACAUACAAAUUAAAAAGGAAACAACAAAAUCAACUAACAUUUCUUCAAGAAAUAAAGCUAGAAAUCGGUCAUAAAAGCCCUAACCACCCCUUGAUCCUUAAUCUCACACAAUGUGGGGAGAUAUGUAGUUGGAACAACCUAAUUGAAGACAAACUCGGUAGAAGCUGAAAGAGGCGUAGUGUGGGAUGCAACAAACAGAAAGCAAAAUGGGAGAAAUGAAGAAACUGCGUGCAUUUUUUUAUCUGCGAGAGCCUUUAGCGGCGACAAUUAGGGAUUUACCGACGACAACGGUCAAUAGCGGAGACAAUCUGAAGGGAAGGGUACCGCGUCAUUUUUUAACUAACUAUUAACGUCGACAUUUUUACCUUUUAGCGGCGACACAUAUGUCGCCGGUAUUAGGUUAGUGCGGAUAAGGGACCCCAACCGUUGGAUUGGAUAUUUGAUUGAACGACUUAGAUGUAACGGAGGGGGAAAACACGGAUUCAGGUGAUAACCCUUUAGCGGCGACGUGUAAUUUUAGCGGCGACUCUAGCAUUUAUCGCCGCUAAAAGUCCACGUCGCAGGUAAUAGUGUCGCCGCUAAAGGGUGAUAUUCUUGUAGUGUAUCAUUUGUUAAUAUAUUUGUGGGAAUGCAGACUUUUAUUUAUAGUAUAUUACGCCUUAGUUGGUGGAAACAAUCAAAGUAUGAGUACUGAAGUGUAAAUUUAACAACAUAGGAAGCAGACUGCUAUGAUAUGGUAAAAACUUUUUUUUUUNNNNNNNNNNNNNNNNNNNNNNNNNNNNNNNNNNNNNNNNNNNNNNNNNNNNNNNNNNNNNNNNNNNNNNNNNNNNNNNNNNNNNNNNNNNNNNNNNNNNUAAUUUUGGGUGAGUAUCUAAUACUUGUAUUCGUAUUUGAGGAAUGAGAGAGAUGUGAUCAUAUUUCUAAUUUUUCUGUAUAUAUUUAUGUUUAUUUUUCUACUCUGAAACGAACACUGAAAACAUAAAAAUCUCACAACAAAUGUAUCAUAAAGAAUUAAAACUUCUACUAGGAAUAAUUCCGAUGUUAGUUGUUUCUAGUUAAGUUGCACGGAAACGGAUACGGCAAUGGGAAACAGAACGGAAACGGGAAAUGACAAAACUCAAAAAUUCAAGAUACGGAUAGGGCAAAGAUACGGCAAUAUAAAAAUACUAUAUANNNNNNNNNNNNNNNNNNNNNNNNNNNNNAGGUUGGUAUAUUGAUGUACUUGAUCCUUGUGUUUCUUGUUCCUGUGAGGCCAUAAUAAUCGAUUUCUGAAUUGGUGAGUGUUGAAUUACUGAAUUUUUUCUUGUUCAGUUAUUCUUGAUCGUCGACAGGAAGGUGCGCAAGGCAGUAAACGACUUCGACUAUAAUUAUCCAGGGAGACAGCGAUCAGUGAAAGUUGUAGGGUAAUUACAGCCCGUUACUCCAUUAGCCUAUUUGGACUUGAAAAGCCCACGCAAAAUAAAAAAGAAUCAGAAAACUUUGUGGAAACUUACCCGAAACGUUUCUGGAUUUGUUUAUAUGUCCAAGAAACGUUUCACUACCGUUUCCCCUACAUAUUCGUUUCCCCCCGAGUAUCUGAUACGGGUACGGCGCCCUAACUGCCGUUUCCAUUCGUGAUAGGUUUCUAGUAUCUUUAGUUCGAACUCUAUAUUGGUUAAUUCAGUUAAAAUCAAAAUGUUCAGUGAAAAUACGAAUAUAAUGUCUUUAAAAAAACAAAUUGAACGAAUAUAAUGUCUUUAAAAAAACAAACAUAAGGGAGUAGUUUGUUUGUCACCGGCGAUUUUUCCAACAACAUUUAUAAAUUAUGGCCAUGUAAAUUAUUCAUUUAUAUUUUGAAAUAUAAAAAUAAAUCGGAAAAUAAAGAUACCGAUGUAAAUUAUUCAUUUAUAUUUUUAAAUAUAAAAAUAAAUCGGAAAAUGAAGAUACUGAUCAUUUUUCCUUUUUUCCUGAAGUCCUAUCCUCUUGGAGCGUUUUGACGAAGUGAACCCGUGGAUUAACCGAAACCAUAGAUCAAUAGCAUCGUCUAACCAAUUUAACCAUGUGUUAUUGCUGAUGCAAAUCAUCCAAUCAUCACUGAUAAAACUAUAUCGUUGAUACCUCGGAUACUCACAGAAAGUCGGUUCAAUUUGGAAAUGGUUCGAUCAUAAAAUUCUCUAAAUUAAAAAAAGACAUCAAUUGUAAAGGAACAACUUCUUCCAUUUUUUCUCUCUAACAGACAGCGUAAUACUUUUAAACAAAGUACUUUAAAUAAUAUAUAACCAUGUAAAUAAAUAUAAACGGUUUUUCAAACUUACAUUUCGAUCAAUGUGGACAACGAAGAGUUUGUACGUGCUAACAUCUCUCUAAAUGAAAUCCACUAUGACCAAUUGUCAAAAUAUACCAUAAAUAAGGAUUUAGUAGCAAUGAAAAGAUGUUAACAUAUGUGUGUCCAUCCAUGAUUCUACAAAAAAAUUCAAUGCUAACUUUAUUUAUUGGGUAUAAAUAAUAAUAAUAAAUAUUAUUUAAAUAAGUUUGAGAUCGACUACAAGGGUGAAAGAAAGAAAGAUGUGGAGUAUUAUGGCACACAGGUGGAGUAUUGAGAACAACUAUUCAUCAAACAUUUUUAUGUAAGUUUGCAUGAAAUUCGACUAUGAGUCGUCAAUACGGAUACACAGCUUGUGUCAUAAUAGAAUUUUAAGUAGAUUUACAUAAAAAGUUUGAUGAAUAGUUAUUUUCAAUAACCCACACGUAUCAUAUCCCACAUCUCCCUUUCUCUCACCCUUAAUAGUAGAUCUCAAACUUAUUUAAAUAAUUAUUAUUAUAAUUACUUACACCCAAUAAAUAAAGUUAGCAUUGAAUUUUUUUUUUGUAGAAUCAUGGAUGGUGAAUUUUUUUUUUGUAGAAUCAUGGAUGGACACACGUAUGUUGACACAUUUUCAGUGCUACUAAACCCUCAUUUGUGGUAUAUUUUAACAACCGGUCCUAGUGGGUUUCAUUUGGAAAGAUGUUAGCUCGUACAAACUGUUCAUUGUCCACAGUGAUCUAAAUGUAAGUUUGAAAAACCAUUUAUAUUUUAUUUACAUGGUUAUAUAUUUAUUUAAAGUACUUUGUUUAAAAGUAUUAUGUUGUCUAUUAGAGAGAAAAAAUGGUAAGAGUUGCUCCUCUACAAUUGAUGGCUUUCUUUAAUUUAGAGAAUCUAUAGAGAGGGGUUUCUCCUUGAACCAUUUCCAAAUUAAACCAACCUAUUGUGUGUAUACAACAAUAUUGUCAAUAGCAUCAUCGCGAUCACUAAAGCGAAUAGUGAGACAAGGCAAUGAAGUGUGUCGGUAUGGGGUUCAUAGCGACUGAAUAGCGAAUAGCAAAUAUCGAAUAGCGAAUAGCGACAUGGCGACCUGUUCAUUUUUUUAUAAAUCUUGUAUAAAUAGUCCCAUUAUAGGGUUUUUAGUUGACUAAGUCAAAGAGUGCAUCGAAUAUCUAAAAUUAACACUUGUUUUUUUUUUGUAAUAUACAUGUUUUAGAACUGAUUUGAACUAUUAUUCUUGGUUUUUAACUUAUUUAUUUGUUAUAAUUGCUAAUUAGGCGAGGUAAAAAUAGUAUUAAUUUUUAAUAAGCAUUCUCUAAAAAAUGAAAUAGUAGUUAUUUCAUAGCUAUCGCUACAUAUCAUAUAGGUAGGUGGUUGCUAGUACCACGCUAUCGCUAUCGCUAUCAAUAACACCGAUAUACGAGGCAUCAAGGAUACAAUUUUAUCAGUGCUAUUAGAGGAUUCACAUCAGCAUAACACAUAACAUGGUAAAAUCGGCUAGGGCGAUACUAUUGAUUGAUGGUUUCUGUUUAUCUAUUGGUUUCCUCAGUCGCAACUCUCCAAGAAAAGGAUAGGACUUCAAGCCAAAUAAUCAAUGUGUUUUACUUUUGAUUUAUUUUUUAUAUCAUUUUUAUAUUUAAAAAUGAAAAUGAAUAAUGUUACAUGUCACGAUUUUUAAAUGUUGUUGGAAAAAUCAUUGGUGGCAAAUAAACUACUCCUUUAUGUUUGGCUUUUCAAAGGCAUUAUAUUCAUUCAAUUUGUUUCUUCCAAGAUAGAUUGUAAGUAUAUAUAUAUAUAUAUAUAUAUAUAUAUAUGUGNGUUAAUAUUUUGAACUAACAAUAAUUUAAACAACUAUUGACAAUAUUUUGUUAUAAAUAAGGGAAUCAAAUAAAGAUGAAGUUGCAUGUAACACCACGGAUACGGAAUCAAAUUGUAAAAACCUAAUACGUGUUAAAAAAACAUAUAAUAUACGAUUCUCGGGUAAAACUGGUUCAUUUAAAUUCAAAUAAGUUUCUUUUGUUUUAGAAAAUUUAUAUAUUUUUAUUGAUAUCAAAAUAAUUAAGAAAAUCCAUUUUAUUAAUUAUUAUCAUAUUUUCAGUUAACAUUUUGAUUUCAAAAUUAACCAACAUAGAGUUCGAACCAAGGAUACAAGAAACAACUAACAUCAUAAUUAUUCCUAGAAGAAUUAAAUUAGUGGUAAGAUUUUUAUAUUUUCAAUGUUUGUUAGUUUCAGACUUGGUCUAUUUUAUUGUCAAGCAUUUAGUGAUGAAUGUUUGAUAUUUUUGGUGUGUGUUUGUUUGAGACUUGAUCUAUAUCAUUAUCUUAUAUUUUUUUGGUGAAUGUUUUAUCUAUACAUAAUUUUUGUAUGUUGAAUUCUUCUUGAUUUACAGAUGUUUUACAUAUUGAUAAGUUUAUUAAUAUAUUGAUGUCAACAUGUUUACUAAUUUAUAUCUUUCAACUUCAAUUGUGAUUUUUUUUAUGUUGAUUUUUUUUUUCUGUUUCAUAUUUGCUAACAUGCUAAUUGUAUUUUAUUAUUUAUAACUGAAAUUACGAUUAACAAAUUUUACUAAAAACUCAAUUAAUCAUUCAUGAUUGCUUCAUCGGAAGUCCACGAGACAUGCAAAGAAGAUAUCUAGAUGCCAUGACUUUAGUUUAAGAUGGAGAGAGGCCUGAUAUUCUUUACAAUGACAUGCGACCCAAUAUUGAAAGAAUUGAUGAUGAACUGUUGAUAGGCAUUAAGAUCGACCAGAAUUAUGAGAGCUUUUUGUGCUAAGUUAGAGGAUUUCUAGGUAAUUAUUCAAGAAGCACACAAUCGAUGUGGUCAGUCAUAUGUUUAUUUUGUAGAGUUUCAAAACGUGGAGUGCCACAUGCAUAUUUCCUCUUAAUAAUAAGAGUUGGAUAUAAAUGGCGAGAGUUUGGAUAUAAAAUGACCAAUCCAGACAAUUAUGACAAAAUGGUGUGUGCCAAAUUCCAAACCUAAUAAGGUUUUCGAAAAUGCACGAUUUGGUCAAACGUUACAUGAUGCAUGGUCCUUGUGGUAUUUUACGAGAAAAAAGUAUGCAUAGUAUGCAGGGUGUGCCAAAUGAACGAUUCCAUACUUUUAAACCUUUGGGUAUAAGCGGUAAAAAGAUGAAUGUCCUGCAGUUACCAUGCCUGGAAUUUAUAAGUACAAAAAUUAAGAGUAUAAUUCUUUAAUAGGUAACGAAAAACAAACAAAUUUAGUUUCUUAGUGAGAAAAUAAUAAAAGUGACAGCCUCAAAGACUAAUAUGGUGAUAUGUUAAUUAUGACGCACGGAGAUGGUUACAUGGUCUAGUACUAGCAAAAACAAAAUCAUUGGUUGUGUAUGUUAAGAAAGGCAGGUAUUAGAUUCACUACAAGAAUAUCACCCUUUAGCGGCGACACUAUUACCGGCGACGUGGACUUUUAGCGGCAACAAAUGCUACAGUCGCCUCUAAAAGUUCACGUCGUCGGUAAUAGCAUCGCCGUUAAAGGGUCAUCACCCGAAUCUGCGUUUUCCCCCUCCGUUACAUCUAAGCCGUUCGAUCAAAUAUUCAAUCCAAUGGUUGGGGUACCCCUUAUCCGCACUAACCUAAUACCAGUGACAUGUGUCGCCGCUAAAAGGUAAAAAUGUCGUCGCUAAUAGUUAGCUAAAAAAUGACGCGGUACCCUUCCCUCCAGAUUGUCGCCGCUAUUGACCUUUGUCGCCGGUAAAGACCUAAUUGUCGCCGCUAAAAGUGUCGCAGCUAAAGGCUCUCGCAGAUAAAAAAAAAACACACAGUUUAUUUCUCCCAUUUUGCUUUCUGUUUGUUGCAUCCCACACUUCGCCUCUUUCAGCUUUUACCGAGUUUGUCUUCAAUUAGGUUGUUCCAACUAUAUAUCUCCCCACAUUGUGUGAGAUUAAGGAUCAAGGGGUGGUUAGGGCUUUUAUGACCGAUUUCUAGCUUUAUUUCUUGAAGAAAUGUUAGUUGAUUUUGUUGUUUCCUUUUUAAUUUGUAUGUUAAUUUCGAUUUGUAGCUGCAUUUGAUGAUUAAAUGGCCAUAAGUUGUUCAAUUUCUUGUUUUUUGGUGGUGUUGUCUUUGGAUUCCUCAAAUACGAAUACAAGUAUUAGAUACUCACCCAAAAUUAAGUAAUAUUUGAUCUUUCUUUAAGAAAAUUAGCAAACUUUUUGAAAUAACAGAUUAAUAUAAUACAAAUGUAAUAUGUUUAUUUGAACUAAUUAAUAAAAUUCCAAAUCUAGUUUUUUAUAUUAUGUUAAAUAUUCAACAAUGCUUAAGGAUCCACAUAUUUUGAUUAACCAAUUAAAUCCGUCAAUCCCAUGACUGUAUACUUUAAAAAUCUCAACUUUGAUUUGGUUUUGAUUUAUAGCUUUUUACUUAGAUUUAUUUCCCUUUAAAACAUUAUACUUCUACUUUUUUCAUAUUAAGGUAUUGUAUUUUGAAAAACUAAUCAAGCUUACUACUUUAAUUUAAUGCAUUAUGCUAUUAUGCUUUCAAUGGUGAUUGGCUCUUCCAGGUAAAUGGCAUAUCAUUACUGGUUAGAAAAAGUAAAGAGUUACAAUGUAAUACAUUCAAUAUGUGAUUUAUUCUGACAUUGUAUAUAAUUUCUUAUUAAGAUAUUGCACUUCAAAAUCCAACAUAUUAAUACAUUUUACCAUUAACAUUUAAACUUGUUUCUUCAUCCAACUAUUGGAUAAUUGAAAUAGUUUCAUUUUUAGCGUUGUACUUUCAUGAUAUUAUAUCGUUAUAUUUUUAUCUAUUAUAACAUCAUUCUUUCAUUUAUAGCAUCACACUUUCAACUUUCUUCUUAUUAUCACAUUAUCAUAUGAAAAUGCAACCCAUUUUUAUCGGUGAAGAUUAAUUUGUUUUUGGAUGACAUUGUAAUAGUUGGGUAGGAUUUCCAAAGCACAUUGCUAUAAUAGUAAGAAAUAAAAGUAAACAAAUAAAUACAAGUACACUGCUAGUUCUUACAUUUAACUUGUUUAGGAAAUUAUGUAGUUCAUUUCUUGCCCACAACAUACUUCCAUUUAUUUGUUACUAUAUAUAUCCUUUACUUUAAUAUCUUUCUGUUACAAAAUUGUGCUUUCAGUCUUUUCUUAUUAAGGCACUUAAGAAUCUACCCAAUUAUAGCAUUUUUAGCUGCUUUCUAUAAUAAACAAAGAAUACUUUUAGACACCAUUUAAGAUUUCUGAGAAAACAAAAAAAAAAAGUUUUUACCAUAUCAUAGCAGUCUGCUUCCUAUGUUGUUAAAUUUACACUUCAGUACUCAUACUUUGAUUGUUUCCACCAACUAAGGCGUAAUAUACUAUAAAUAAAAGUCUGCAUUCCCACAAAUAUAUUAACAAAUGAUACACUACAAGAAUAUCACCCUUUAGCGGCGACACUAUUACCUGCGACGUGGACUUUUAGCGGCGAUAAAUGCUAGAGUCGCCGCUAAAAUUACACGUCGCCGCUAAAGGGUUAUCACCUGAAUCCGUGUUUUCCCCCUCCGUUACAUCUAAGUCGUUCAAUCAAAUAUCCAAUCCAACGGUUGGGGUCCCUUAUCCGCACUAACCUAAUACCGGCGACAUAUGUGUCGCCGCUAAAAGGUAAAAAUGUCGACGUUAAUAGUUAGUUAAAAAAUGACGCGGUACCCUUCCCUUCAGAUUGUCUCCGCUAUUGACCGUUGUCGUCGGUAAAUCCCUAAUUGUCGCCGCUAAAGGCUCUCGCAGAUAAAAAAAUGCACGCAGUUUCUUCAUUUCUCCCAUUUUGCUUUCUGUUUGUUGCAUCCCACACUACGCCUCUUUCAGCUUCUACCGAGUUUGUCUUCAAUUAGGUUGUUCCAACUACAUAUCUCCCCACAUUGUGUGAGAUUAAGGAUCAAGGGGUGGUUAGGGCUUUUAUGACCGAUUUCUAGCUUUAUUUCUUGAAGAAAUGUUAGUUGAUUUUGUUGUUUCCUUUUUAAUUUGUAUGUUAAUUUCGAUUUGUAGCUGCAUUUGAUGAUUAAAUGGCCAUAAGUUGUUCAAUUUCUUGUUUUUGGUGGUGUUGUCUUUGGAUUAGAAAAAAAAAUGAAUUUGAUUCUUGUAUUACUUCCAUUUGUAGUUUAGUCUUUAGGGACAUUUGGUGAUUAUUAAGAGCCGAAUUUGAUGAUUAAAUUGCAAUAAAUUGUUUAAUUUCAGUGUUUUUGGUGGUGUUGUCUUUGGGUUUACCGGUGAGGGUAUUUUCGGGUGAAGACCAAAUUUUCCGGCUACAUAUCCGUUGAUUUCCGCCACUACAGGUUCUAUUAUUUCAUUUUUUUGUGAAUUUCGUAUUUGUAUGUGAAAAUUGCCAUAUGUGAAAAUUAGAUUGUAUAUUUGGUAUUUGUAUAAAUAUAUGUGAAUUUGGUGUAUAUAUGCCAAUGUAUGUGUGUUUGAUGUAUAUGUGGUGUAUGAGUAUUUGGUAGAAGUAUAUACAUGAUGUUAUUAUCUAUAUAUAUGUGAAAUUAUAUGUAUUUGUUAUAAGUAGGAUGUUAUUGUGUGUAUGUGAAUAUAUGUAUGUUUGUUGUAAAUGUGGUAUAUGAUUGUGAAAUUUUUGUAUUUGGUAUAAAUAGGAUGUUAUUAGCUAUAUAUGUGAAAAUAUGUGUAUUUAAUUUAAGUAGGAUGUUAUUUUGUGUGUAUGUGAAUGUAUUUGUAUUUGGUGUAUACGUGGUAUAUGUGUGUGAAAGUAUGUGAAUUUCAUUUUCUUGUGUAUUAUGUGGAAAAGUAUGUGGUUUUGGUAUAAGUAGGAUGCUAUACUGGUAUAGUCAAUGAUGUUUCUGAUUGCGAAACUGAUUACGAUGAGACCGAUUAUGAUUAUGAUACAGAAGAAGACACCGAAGGAUAUGAGGAAUAUUCUGAUUAGAACAGUUCUUGUUUAAAUAGAAAUGUUUAUUCCUAUGUAAAUGUUUAUUUCUAUGUAAUGUGUAUUUGUAAUAAAAAUUAUAUUUGUAUAUCUUAUAAGUUUUUCAAGAAAUGAUGACAAUAUGGCUUUUGUUUAUGUAUACCAUGGCAGCUGUUAUGGGUCGUGGACACGGGGGGUGAUGGAGCUGAGGACGCACCUCUCCCAGGUGGUAGAGGUGUUGGUCAUCACGAGCAGGACGGUAAGUCUUGUUAUGAAUUGUUGUUUACUAUUUUUGUUCAGCUAUUAUAAAUUAAAUACCGUUUCUAAUAAUUUUUAAUUACAUUUGUAGUUGAGCAACUUGCACAAAGGAAAGUUCGAGGCAAAUCGAAAAAUAUAAAGCUUGAAAAAACGAUCUUAUGGAACCAGGGCAAACCGAUUAGCAUGGAAUAUGAUAGGGAUAUCACAUUUGAUCCCGUAGGAGAGCCGAAAGACAUGUUUUCCCGAGAAGUUGGAAAAACAAUGUGGCAGAUGGUCCCUUUUGAUAAAUGCACUUGGAAAAAAGUUUCCCCUGCAAUACAGGACACCGUAUUACAACAUUUAGCGGCAGUUAUUUAUUUAAAUAUAUUUUAUAUGGUUAACUAUAAUUGUUUUUUACUUGGUUAACUUUUUUAUUUGUAGACAAAGUUUGAUUUAGAUUAGAUGUACCGAGAUGACAAGUUAAUAUGUUGACAGAGAGUUUCCAAGCAGCUUUGUUAAAAGGUUAUCGAGAACGUAAAGCUGACGCAAAAGAAUAUUUUAUGUUAGUCGGAGGGUAUGAAGAUAUCCCGAGAGCAAUAGCCAACCCUCCAGAGGGUAUGGAAGUUGAUAAGUGGAAAAAAGCAGUUGAGUAUUUCCAAACAAACGAACACAUAAUUGCUUCAGAAAAGAACAAAAAAAUCCGUGAAAUGCAAACAAAUGCGAAUCGUGGGGGUCGAGCUCGUAUAGCAGUAGUUGCUAUAAGAAGGUAACGUACGAUAUAUGUAAUUAUUUAUUUAAAAUAUAAUCUAAUUUUUAAAGUUAAACAGAACCUUAAGAGAGUGGAAACGUUUCGCAAAGCUCAUACCGAUAAGAAUGAUGUAUUUGUUACAACUGAGGCGGAACAACAAUAUGUAAGUAUUUAAUUAUAAUUUUAUCAUAUAGUUAAAUGUUUAUUUAUACUUAAUUGUUACUCACUUUUAG